GUGAGGAAUAUUGGUCAAUGGGCGAGAGCCUGAACCAGCCAAGUCGCGUGAAGGAAGAAGGAUCUAUGGUUCGUAAACUUCUUUUGCAGGGGAAUAAAGUGCAGGACGUGUUCUGUUUUGUAUGUACCCUGAGAAUAAGGAUCGGCUAACUCCGUGCCAGCAGCCGCGGUAAUACGGAGGAUCCGAGCGUUAUCCGGAUUUAUUGGGUUUAAAGGGUGCGUAGGUGGUUUGAUAAGUCAGCGGUGAAAGUUUGCAGCUUAACUGUAAAAAUGCCGUUGAAACUGUCGGACUUGAGUGUAAAUGAGGUAGGCGGAAUGCGUGGUGUAGCGGUGAAAUGCAUAGAUAUCACGCAGAACUCCGAUUGCGAAGGCAGCUUACUAAGCUACAACUGACACUGAAGCACGAAAGCGUGGGGAUCAAACAGGAUUAGAAACCCUGGUAGUCC
This 445-nucleotide ribosomal RNA is filed under the name uncultured bacterium. Its description in RNAcentral is "partial 16S ribosomal RNA". It matches the Rfam family "Bacterial small subunit ribosomal RNA", at positions 354 to 796 of the family's 1533-position model. The record is from RNAcentral.